CUCAAGGUCAAACAGUUAAAAGCAGAUUUAUUUCGAACAGGAAAGGACUGAAUGCAAGUUAAGGAAAGGACAGCUGGCUCAAUAAAGGAGCUGAGGAACAUCUGAAACACUGGCCAACUGUCCUUCAAUCAGUUAUUCACUUUGCCGUCAUGACUUCAUCGACAAUUCCAUGAAACCCAGAGCUACUACCAGGACAGUUCUAGGACAGCCAUCAUCCUCAGCUUCCUCUUCCCUGUUACUGCCUGUCUUGUCAUCACUGUCAGCAUCCAUCUGUCAAGCACUGAACAGUGUGAGCUGGAGAUUUCCUUGGAGCUGGAGCACUACUUGGCAGCCACUGGGCAAGUUGGUGGAGGAAGAGGAGGUACAAGGAUGAAGGAGAUGAAGACUCAGCCCACUGUCCAACCUACCCACCAGCUUGCAUCCUAACAGGGGAAGAGACCUGCCCACAGACAGUGAGAAAUGGGGGAUGAAAGUACCUUUCCAGGUUUUUGUUUCAAGAACCUUCAGCUGUCUAAACACUCAGCUCAGCCAAGCUUCGCUCUGCAUACAGACUGCAGCUGGACUUCAGAGGCUCAAGCAUCCUGCUUUCAUCUUCCCAUUGGCAGAGCUCCUUGUUUCCAACCCUGACUGGAAGGAGAUGAGGAACCCCACAGCAGAGGGCAGGUGUGAGUGAAUCCUUAUUCUCCUUUUGCUUGCAAGGAAACUGAAGCGUGGAGAGGUUGGGUCAUGCGCUUUACAUCACAGCCUGGGAAGGUGGACAGCGGAGCCUGGCAAAGGGCUAGCAACUCAGCCACAGUGGAGCACAGUGAACUCAGAGGCCAGGACUUAGAUAG
Molecule: long non-coding RNA, 833 nt
Organism: Odocoileus virginianus texanus
Lineage: Eukaryota; Metazoa; Chordata; Mammalia; Artiodactyla; Cervidae
Source: RefSeq, a predicted model, not a curated record